This is an RNA transcript of Coffea arabica (coffee), 1259 nucleotides long. RefSeq lists it as uncharacterized. The record is from RefSeq and is a predicted model, not a curated record. Lineage: Eukaryota; Viridiplantae; Streptophyta; Magnoliopsida; Gentianales; Rubiaceae.
GACCUACAUACAACAAUUUUGAAUUUUUUUUUUUGGGUAGGUUAUACAACAAUUUUGAUUUGUCGAAACUCAGUAGACAAAUCCUCACUUCAUCAAUAAUGGAGUCCUCUUCAUCUUCUCUAUCUUCCUCAGCUUCUCUAUUCCCACCAUUCUCUCCCUCCCUUUGGGGCUACAUCAUCUUAUACAUCCUCCGCCCCUUUCUCGCCAUACUCUUUGCCCUCUCUGUAUUACUUUUUGGGUGGUUUUUGGCGUGGAAGCUGGUGCUUGUUCAUGUCCCGUUGGUGCAAGAGAUCUUUGGUUUGCGUAAGAAACCGGUCAAGGCCAAACCCGAGAAUCGCCGGCGACUCACGAAGUUCUACAACAGCAUUGAUGCCCGAAAUUCAGCUUCUUGAUGUGGGCUUCUGGGAUACUCCACUGACUGAUGAUUUUGAGUUCUAUCUCACAGAUUGCAGCAUCCAGGUCAUCAUUUGCAUUGGGUCCACUUGUGCAACUUGUGCAUGAGAAAAAGAAGAGCUUUCUUUGGAAGAGAUUGCUGUAGUUUAUGGCUUAGAAAGUAAAUAAGUUGAUAAAUACUUGUAAAGGAAUAUAUUAAAGUUGGAUAGAAAAUUGUUAGAAAAUUUAGAAGGAAGGCGAUUGAUACUGUACCUUUUGAUAAGAUCUUAGUGCCAGGGGAAGAGCUUUUAUCAAGGUUUCUGGCCAAGGUUGCUGAGUUUCGAUUCUGGUGAGGAAGUUAUCAGGCAAAAGUACUUCUGGGAAGUUUUCUCCAUUGUAUGCUUGAUUCUAUAAGAAAUUUUAGCAGGUCUUCAAUUGAAGGAGCAAUGAAAUUAUGGGAGCUUCUACAGUACAUUUUAGGUUCUUAUGCAAGAUUAUAGCAGUGAAAUGUAUUCAUGAACAGAACUGUUGAUUGUGGACUUCCAUUGUUCCUCUCAUUGAAUUGAUCAUUGACUCCGACAACUAAUGUUAGUUUGAUGAGUGCCAUUAGGAAGGUGAUUUCUUUGUGCUGUAAAAAUUUCAACAGUGGCUUUGGAUCAUCCUUACUUCAGCGUUGUUUUAAUGCAGAUUUAUCCAUAGAACUAUUAUGGUGAUACUCUGUCCGAGUGGUACCCAUGUUAAUUGUAAAAUUGUAGGCCCAAUGCUCAAUGUUGUGUUCCAUUUAAACUCACAUAUUCUUCGAAUUUUUAAUUAGCCCCUUCUGUCCGCAGCUACAAUGUAAUUGCUCAUGUUUCUGCAAUGAAUUUCUUUCUAGUAUUUGGAUUUUA